GGCUGUGGCGCGCGCGGGGGGAGUUGGGCCGGUUCGGCCCAAUUCGGCCGGCCGGUCCGUUUACCCCUUUUUUUUUUCUUUUAGACCUUUUCUUUUUCUGUUUUUCCCAUUUCUUUAAUAUAUUUUGAGUUUGAACUCCAAAUUGGUCCAAAAGAAUUCUAGAAAAUUUGUAAAAUCUUGUUCUACCAUGAUGCAACUUUUGGAAGUAGUUUCUCUUCAAAAUAAAAUAUAUAAAAAUACAUUCGCCCUAUAAAUGACUUUAGGGCUAUAUAUCUGUUUGAAGAAAAUACUUUUUCAACUCCAAUUAGUUAACCAAAAAUUAUGGGAUAGCUUAUAUAUGCAUUAAACCCUUUUUAUGCAUCAACCCUAUUGGUUUGAAAAUCCAAAGGUUACAGGGAUGUAAACAAAAUCUCUUAAAGCCUUUUGUGAUUCAAAAUUUGAACUCAAACAUGCAAUUGUGGCAUGAUGCUCAUGGAUGCAAUGCACAUGUAAAUGUUUGAAAUUUUGGGAUGUUACAGACCUAACCCCCUUAAGAUGAAUCUCGUCCUUGAGAUUCGGUGUGGCUAGCAAAGAGGUGUGGGUGGUCUUCUCGAAGAUCAUCUUCGCGUUCCCAAGUGGCUUCUUCUUCUGUGUGAUGGUCCCACUGAACUUUGCAAAACUUGAUGGUCUUGGAUCGGGUCUGUCUCUCAGCUGUAUCUACGAUCCUGACCGGUUUCUCCUCAUAGGUGAGGUCACCCUGUAACUGGACUUCCUCAAGUGGAAUCGUAUCCCUCAGGGGUGUGUCGGCCAUCUCGGGGUGACACUUCUUCAGUUGCGAUACAUGGAAGACAU
RNAcentral lists this long non-coding RNA (831 nucleotides) under Brachypodium distachyon (stiff brome). RNAcentral describes it as "long non-coding RNA (BDIS_LNC003101)". The record is from RNAcentral. Lineage: Eukaryota; Viridiplantae; Streptophyta; Magnoliopsida; Poales; Poaceae.